GCGAAGAGAAAGAAGCAGCACGA
Molecule: non-coding RNA, 23 nt
Filed under: Arabidopsis thaliana (thale cress)
Lineage: Eukaryota; Viridiplantae; Streptophyta; Magnoliopsida; Brassicales; Brassicaceae
Source: RNAcentral